RNAcentral lists this ribosomal RNA (253 nucleotides) under uncultured bacterium. Its description in RNAcentral is "partial 16S ribosomal RNA". It matches the Rfam family "Bacterial small subunit ribosomal RNA", at positions 524 to 776 of the family's 1533-position model. The record is from RNAcentral.
GACGUAGGGGGCCAGCGUUGCUCGGAAUAACUGGGCGUAAAGGGUUCGUAGGCGGUGUGGCAAGUCGGGAGUGAAAUCCUGAGGCUUAACUUCAGGACUGCCUCCGAAACUGCCAUGCUCGAGUGCGGGAGAGGCGAGUGGAAUUGCAGGUGUAGCGGUGAAAUGCGUAGAUAUCUGCAGGAACACCAGUGGCGAAAGCGGCUCGCUGGACCGCAACUGACGCUGAGGAACGAAAGCUAGGGGAGCAAACAGG